This 3173-nucleotide long non-coding RNA is filed under the name Gallus gallus (chicken). Its description in RNAcentral is "lncRNA (ENSGALG00010021366.1)". Lineage: Eukaryota; Metazoa; Chordata; Aves; Galliformes; Phasianidae. The record is from RNAcentral.
CGCCCGCGUGUCCGGCGGCGGCUCCGGGCCGCUUUUUCCAACGUGCCCGUCGUGCGGGCGCGCGCAACCCGUAGUAAUCAAUCGGCGCGGAGACCUUCGCCGUCGUUCGAAGCCUCCUUAAGCUUUUGCUUAAGUGCCAAGCAACUCCCUCCUUCCACUGAAGCGACCAAAUCCAAGCAGGCAGGCAAACAAACAGCUGCUUUUGAAGGCGAGAGCGAAACGUGACGUUCGUUCCAGGCUGUGGUAAUGCAUCACAUGAGCUGGAGAAGUAUUCUUUGUGCCUCUUGGGCAAAACGUGAGUUUUGGAACCCGAGGAGCUGGUUGCUGUUUGUAUGCACCCCACGUCCCAAGGAGCCUUCCCACUUGGUGCCCACGCCGAGCGUUCCCCCAGAGCUCUGCAGGCGCUCCGCAGCCAUACAUUCCUUAACCCACCCCCUCCUCCUGCAGGAUGCCAUCUCCUUUCCUCUUCAUUUGACACAGACAAGAAGCCGAGGUAGCGUGAGGACACAGGCUGUGGGUAGGCAGGGAGCGGGGAGCCGCGUGCCGUCCUGCGCCCAUCCCACAGCCACGCUUUCCGUCCCAAAUCCAGUGCCCAACACAGGGCCGGGCCGCAGCCUCCCGCUGGGAACUGGACGACAGGCUGCUUUGGCUCUGGGGUGCCCAGAUGAUGCCCGGCACGGCAGCUGUGGGCACGGAACUGUUGGGGCGCUCCUCUUGCAAAGGGCCUUUUGUAGAAGCGAGAGCAGCCCCGGCCACCUGUACUGCCCGCAGGCUGCUAGCAGGAAGCAAGCAGGGCCAUCAAACUCAGCAGGCGUGUCGGGGGCACCUCCGGCCCCCCGGGCACACACGGCUGGUUUGUUCUGCCCGCUGCUCAGCGGGGAUGGGAGGAGCCGGCUCCUAUCCUGGGCCAAACCCUCUGGCAGCGCUCGGUGAGCUCGCAGCCACCCGUGAGGCUGUACCCACGGAGUGGAGAGGCAGCAGGAUUAGCAGGCAGGGCAGGAGCAGAUUAGUGGCCGUAUCCAGGUCUGCACACGUGUGACAGGGCAGUAGGGCAGAGCCACGAAGGGAGGAGCGUGUUCAUCGAUCACAUGGAGGAAAACCCUACAGGCUACUGGAAAUCAGUUAUAAUGCAACUGCCCGCAGCAGCCCUGCAUGCCCUAGAGGUCCCCAGCCCACCGCUGAACUCAGUGCAGGCUUCCUUCAUCAGUCCCUUAGGGACAGAGCUCUCCUGUCACUGCCUGGGGAUACCUAUUUCAGGGAGCUAUGCUCACCUGUGUGCCACGGUCCCAUCCUACACUGCAGACCCAGGCUGUGCCGUCACCGCUGGCAGGGGGCUGCGCUGUCGUCCCACUGCCCCUUCCUGCUGCUGGACCUGCGGGACGUGCGGGCAGUGCUGCUGAAAUGGGGCCGUGGGGGCCUUUCCACUUCAGCAAGCACAAACAAACCCCAUUGUCUGCUGGCUCAGCAAGGGGCCCGGGCGCGUGUGGGGCUCCAGCCUCAUCUGUCAGCCUGAGGGGAGGCCCGGGGUGUCCCCAAGGCAGGGCAGCACUGCUGGAACAUGGGGCUUCAGCGCAGGCUGGGGGCACAAAUCCUCUGCCAAAGCCACUGCCAAGGGUCUCCCUUGCUGCUGCCUCCUGGAUGCGGCCCUUUCCACAGCAGUUCCUCCAUUCCCAUUCCCUUUCCACACCCCUGCUCCCCUCUACAGCUCCACUGACCCUUUGCUCCCUCUGCAAGCAUUUACUGCCUAAUGGCAGCUAUUAAACAGAGCCACAGGGCAGCUGGUUACUGAAUGACAGCCACCACACCACGGGUAUAGCACUGUUCUCUAUUCCACUGCGGGCAUCUUCCACCUGCAAGGAGCUGGGCUGAGACCUUGGGAAAUACGGGACAACACACAGUGUGGGCUCCUGGUUACACAAGUCAACCCCUGUGAGAUGCUCCGAGGCAUUGGGAAACCACAGCCCCGGGGCCAGCAGAGUGCCCCGUCCCAUGAGGCCACCACGCUCCUUGCCCCAAGUGUCCUUGGCAGCAGCGUGGCCAUACAAACCCGGAGUGGGUGGCCCACUGCUGCGGUGCCCAGGGUCACAUCCAGCCCUUGGUGGCAGCGCCAACACCCCGUGAAGGAGCAGAGCCGCUGGGGAAGGAGCCCGAUGGCGCCCAGCCAUGCUUGUAAAAUGCACCUGGGGAGCUGGGAAAGGGAUGACCUGCCAAGCAGAAGGGUCAGCUGCUGCCACGCGGUCCCCUCCCUGCCCAAAGCCCAUCCACACCGAGUGACAAUCAGGAGCCAUGCCUUCCCAAGGCACAGGGACAGCGGGCAGGGCCACGUGUGGCUUUCAAGGAGUGCCAUCACGGCCGGAUGCUGCUCACCCACCAUGGGGUUCUUAGGGACGGCGCCACGGGGACCGCAGGGACCAAAGGGAUGGCACCACAGGGACUGUGGCACGCAGCCACCUGCAGAGAGGCAGCUCCCGGGAGCUCUCCUAGCAGUGCCUGCCCCAGGCUGAACCCCGCCUGAUGGCUGCUGGCUGCCGAGGAGGAAUUCGGCUGUGUAAACGCCUGGCACAGCUGAGUGGAUCCUGUUUGAAGAAGGAAGCCUGCGCUGUCAUGCUUUCCCCUCCGGGCAGAUCAGCGGUGGCUGAACGCUCCCAAACAUCUCCUGGGGAGUUGUGCAGAAGGGCCCUUUCCCACAGCUCCGGCACACGGGCCGCCCAUUAUUCCCCCCGCUGCCAGCCGAGCUCGCCUGCGUUCCCAGCCCAUAAGAAGGCCCCGGGGCCAACCGGCGGAGCGCAACAAUGGGACAGCAAAAACAGCACAAAGCCGUGGCCAGGCGCCGAGCAAACCGAGCGCCAGGGAACGGGGGAAAGUCUACGCUCCCCAUCAGCUAUCCCAUGGCCUCCGUGGCCCCGGUGCAGAGUGCGCCCUUGCUCAGGGGAUGCGCUGGGAGAUGGAAAUGCGCAGGGGUGCCACCAGGGUUUGGCGUGCGGGUGAGGAGGUGAACGGAGCGGAGCACGGGGUGCCUCAAAAGAACAGCACCUGCUUCUCCCUGGGCGAGGGAUGCUGGGUACCAGGCUCACCGCGGCCCCGUUCCCGGCUCCCGUUUAAGCCGGGAGCCCCGCACCCAACCCGCGUCCCGCCCCUCAUCCCGCGCACGGCGGGGACGCGGGGCGCUGCCG